This 383-nucleotide ribosomal RNA is filed under the name uncultured eukaryote. RNAcentral's name for it is "partial 18S ribosomal RNA". It matches the Rfam family "Eukaryotic small subunit ribosomal RNA", at positions 592 to 976 of the family's 1831-position model. The record is from RNAcentral.
CAAUAGCGUAUAUUAAAGUUGUUGCAGUUAAAAAGCUCGUAGUUGGAUUUCUGACAGGAGCGACCGGUCACACACUCUGUGUGUGAACUUGCGUUGUCUCUGGCCAUCCUUGGGAAGAUCCUGUUUGGCAUUAAGUUGUCGGGCAGGGGAUACCCAUCGUUUACUGUGAAAAAAUUAGAGUGUUUAAAGCAGGCUUAUGCCGUUGAAUAUAUUAGCAUGGAAUAAUAAGAUAGGACUUCGGAACUAUUUUGUUGGUUUGCGUUACGAAGUAAUGAUUAAUAGGGACAGUUGGGGGUAUUCGUAUUUCGUUGUCAGAGGUGAAAUUCUUGGAUUUCCGAAAGACGAACUACUGCGAAAGCAUUUACCAAGGAUGUUUUCAUUAA